AUACCGGAUAUGACCACUUCACGCAUGUGAUGGUGGUGGAAAGUUUUUCGGCCAGGGAUGUGCUCGCGGCCUAUCAGCUUGAUGGUGAGGUAAUGGCUCACCAUGGCUUCGACGGGUAGCCGGCCUGAGAGGGUGACCGGUCACACUGGGACUGAGACACGGCCCAGACUCCUACGGGAGGCAGCAGUGGGGAAUAUUGGACAAUGGGCGGAAGCCUGAUCCAGCAACGCCGCGUGAGGGAUGACGGCCUUCGGGUUGUAAACCUCUUUCAGUACCGACGAAGCGCAAGUGACGGUAGGUACAGAAGAAGCACCGGCCAACUACGUGCCAGCAGCCGCGGUAAUACGUAGGGUGCGANNNNNNNCCGGAAUUAUUGGGCGUAAAGGGCUCGUAGGCGGUUUGUCGCGUCGGGAGUGAAAACCAGGUGCUUAACACCUGGCUUGCUUUCGAUACGGGCAGACUAGAGGUAUUCAGGGGAGAACGGAAUUCCUGGUGUAGCGGUGAAAUGC
This 509-nucleotide ribosomal RNA is filed under the name Nocardioides sp. PCSM45. RNAcentral describes it as "bacterial SSU rRNA". It matches the Rfam family "Bacterial small subunit ribosomal RNA", at positions 166 to 689 of the family's 1533-position model. Lineage: Bacteria; Bacillati; Actinomycetota; Actinomycetes; Propionibacteriales; Nocardioidaceae. The record is from RNAcentral.